Molecule: long non-coding RNA, 334 nt
Organism: Scomber japonicus (chub mackerel)
Lineage: Eukaryota; Metazoa; Chordata; Actinopteri; Scombriformes; Scombridae
Exons: 4
Source: RefSeq, a predicted model, not a curated record
GCGACCGCCAUUCCUGCUCUGGUUUCAAGUUAAUUGGCGGGCUUUGUUCAUUGGUUCGCGCCAAUUGCUGCAGGCCGGCAGGUUGAACAGGAUUUGACCCGCAGCAGGAUGGCUUGUGAACACCGCGUAGACGCCGUGGAGCAAGAGCUGGAACAGGCCGAGGAGGCCGAGAGGACGGAGGACACAGUCGUGAGGAGAGACGGUGUGUUUAGCUCCUUGCUUCGCGGCCUCUUCUGGCCGGUCGGCAUCGUGAUACGUGCAUACCGCGGGGUUUGGUGGGUGCUGGGCUUCCGACCGCCAAAGGAGACAGCUGCGGUCACUUCCGCGGUUACCA